Molecule: ribosomal RNA, 767 nt
Filed under: uncultured bacterium
Lineage: Bacteria
Description: bacterial SSU rRNA
Rfam family: Bacterial small subunit ribosomal RNA
Source: RNAcentral
UUUUUAGAAAGGGAGCGGGCGGACGGGGUGAUUAAAGGGUGGAUAAACCUUCCUUCAUACACAUUGGAAUUACAUUCCGAAAAGGUAUGUUUAAUACCAAAGAUUAUAUAAGGAGAUUUCGCAUGGAAUUUGUUAUCAAAAGCUCCGGCGGUAUGAGGAUGGACCCGGGUUUGAAUUAGUUAGUGGGUAAGGUAACGGUUUAACAAAGGCGAAGAUCAAGUAGCCGACCUGAGAGGGGUGAUCGGCCACAUUGGAACUGAGACACGGUCCAAAUUCUUACGGGAGGCAGCAGUGGGGAAUAUUGCACAAUGGGCGAAAGCUUGAUGCAGCAACGCCGCGUGAGCGAUGAAGGCCUUCGGGUCGUAAAGCUCUGUCCUCAAGGAAAGAUAAUGACGGUACUUGAGGAGGAAGCCCCGGCUAACUACGUUCCAGCAGCCGCGGUUAAUACGUAGGGGGCUAGCGUUAUCCGGAUUUACUGGGCGUAAAGGGUGCGUAGGUGGUUUUCUUAAGUUCAGGAGUGAAAGGCUACGGCUCAACCGUAGUAAGCUCUUGAAACUGGGAAACUUGAGUGCAGGGAGGAGGAAAGUGGAAAUUCCUAGUGGAGCGGGGAAAUGGGUGAUUUUUGGAGGAAAACCCGUAGGGGAGGGGGCUUUUUUGGAUUUUAACGGGCAGUGGAGCCAGGAAGGGGUGGGAACCAACCAGGAUUAGAUACCUGGUUUUCCACGCGGUAAACGAGGAGUAAUAAGGGUCGGGGGUACCCCCCUCGG